GAUGAACGCUGGCGGCGUGCCUAACACAUGCAAGUCGAACGGAGAUUACGGACGGAAGUUUUCGGAUGGAAGACUGUAAUUCUUAGUGGCGGACGGGUGAGUAACGCGUGGGCAACCUGCCCUAUACAGGGGGAUAGCAGCUGGAAACGGCUGGUAAGACCGCAUAAGUCGGCGAGACCGCAUGGUUUUGCCGGGAAAUGAGCAAUCAGGUAUAGGAUGGGCCCGCGUCCGAUUAGCCAGUUGGCAGGGUAAAAGCCUACCAAAGCAACGAUCGGUAGCCGGACUGAGAGGUCGGACGGCCACAUUGGGACUGAGACACGGCCCAAACUCCUACGGGAGGCAGCAGUGGGGAUAUUGCACAAUGGAGGAAACUCUGAUGCAGCGACGCCGCGUGAGUGAAGAAGUAUUUCGGUAUGUAAAGCUCUAUCAGCAGGGAAGAUGAUGACGGUACCUGACUAAGAAGCCCCGGCUAACUACGUG
RNAcentral lists this ribosomal RNA (480 nucleotides) under uncultured bacterium. Its description in RNAcentral is "partial 16S ribosomal RNA". It matches the Rfam family "Bacterial small subunit ribosomal RNA", at positions 28 to 507 of the family's 1533-position model. The record is from RNAcentral.